This 368-nucleotide long non-coding RNA is filed under the name Setaria viridis. RNAcentral's name for it is "long non-coding RNA (SVIR_LNC001362)". The record is from RNAcentral. Lineage: Eukaryota; Viridiplantae; Streptophyta; Magnoliopsida; Poales; Poaceae.
CAGAAUCGAGUCGUCCAAAAUUUCCAUAAAAAAUCUUCCUCUUCCAAAAUCAGUAGGGGAACACCUUUUCCUAUUGUUUUUUAGUCUUUCCUUAGGAUUUUAACCUCGGAUUGCGCAGUGUGUCAUAUACCAAAGCUCUGCAUAUACGAGUGAAACACUGAUGAUUAAAUAGCGCACCACAUGAACCGAUGAAAUAUAAACUAUAUUCUCGUGAAAUUAUACCAAUGGACUAGUGAAACAUUACGAUUGAACACUGCAAAUAAAACUUGUAGAACAUCAAAUAAAUGCGAACUACACCAAGAAUAGCUAACGACCAUAGCAGGAAUUGGGAAUCAGUCUGCAUCCUUUGUAUCUAACCUACUCCCUCC